CACUCAGCUGGGAAGCUAGCGCAAAUGGGAAACAGGACUUCCUGUGGUUUUUCAUAAAAUAAAAGCCGCGACUCUGACUCUGUAGUAACGUAGCAACCAGGUUACAUUGGUGUCUCCAUCUCUCUCCUCUGUGAUCUGUCUCUGUCAAGCAGGUUGGACAAGACUCAACCCAGACCAACUGCCUCAAGAAGACGAGGAGAACUUCAUUCUAAAUUUGGUGCCGUGUGGUUCACCCAUCCAGGAACCAGCACACCAGGCUCCACCCAUCCAAGAACCAGCACACCAGGCUCCACCCAUCAAAGAACCAGCACACCAGGCUCCACCCAUCCAAGAACCAGCACACCUGGCCCCACCCAUCCAGGAACCAGCACACCUGGCCCCACCCAUCCAGGAACCAGCACACCUGGCCCCACCCAUCCAGGAACCAGCACACCUGGCCCCACCCAUCCAGGAACCAGCACACCUGGCCCCACCCAUCCAGGAACCAGCACACCAGGCUCCACCCAUCCAAGAACCAGCACACCAGGCUCCACCCAUCCAAGAACCAGCACACCAGGCUCCACCCAUCCAAGAACCAGCACACCAGGUCUCAGCUGUGCAGCCACCACUGCGGGGUCCACAGCAACGUAAAAGACUACAAAAAAAUCAAAGAUUGCCCUCACAGUCGGCUUGAAAUGUUCCCAGUCUGUGAAAUAAUAAAGACAAGGAAAAGAAAGGGGAGGACAGAACAUCUUUAUGACUGGCAGCCCUGCACAAUGUGUGGAAAGACCUGGCCUCCAUCCUGGCAGCCAGCCUGAUUCCCAUCCCAUGCAGCCUGCAAAUAUGCAACAUACAUUGCAAACAUAAAUUUUUUCCUUGGUCUUGUUAAGUGUUUUUUCUUUACAUAUUUUUUGUUGUCCACUUGUAUUGUUCCAUAACAUUGUCAUGUUACAUCAGUUAAGCAGUUUGUGAUGUAAUUUGAACUUUAAUAUUCUUCAUGUUUUGUCUUCAAGCUUGUUACAAUCUCUUUUAUGUGUAUGGAUUCAAUAAAGGGCA
This is a long non-coding RNA of Cyprinus carpio (common carp), 1035 nucleotides long. RefSeq lists it as uncharacterized. The record is from RefSeq and is a predicted model, not a curated record. Lineage: Eukaryota; Metazoa; Chordata; Actinopteri; Cypriniformes; Cyprinidae. The transcript has 5 exons.